UACGGGGGGAGCAAGCGUUGUUCGGAUUUACUGGGCGUAAAGGGCGCGUAGGCGGUCAGCACAAGUCAGUUGUGAAAUCUCCGGGCUUAACUCGGAAAGGUCAACUGAUACUGUGCGACUAGAGUGCAGAAGGGGCAACUGGAAUUCUCGGUGUAGCGGUGAAAUGCGUAGAUAUCGAGAGGAACACCUGCGGCGAAGGCGGGUUGCUGGGCUGACACUGACGCUGAUGCGCGAAAUCCAGGGGAGCGAACGGG
This 254-nucleotide ribosomal RNA is filed under the name uncultured bacterium. RNAcentral describes it as "partial 16S ribosomal RNA". It matches the Rfam family "Bacterial small subunit ribosomal RNA", at positions 524 to 776 of the family's 1533-position model. The record is from RNAcentral.